This 508-nucleotide long non-coding RNA is filed under the name Pan troglodytes (chimpanzee). RNAcentral describes it as "long non-coding RNA NONPTRT005208". Lineage: Eukaryota; Metazoa; Chordata; Mammalia; Primates; Hominidae. The record is from RNAcentral.
AUGGACGGUGGAGGUGGACAGUGGAGAUGGAGGGUAGUGAUGUACAGUGGACAUGGACAGUGGAGAUAGAGGGUGGUGAUGGACAGUGGAGAUAGAGGGUGGUGAUGGACAGUGGAGAUAGAGGGUAGUGAUGGACAGUGGAGAUAGAAGGUGGUGAUGGACAGUGGACAUGGACGGUGGAGACAGACAGUGGUGAUGGACAGUGGAGAUAGAGGGUGGUGAUGGACAGUGGAGAUAGAAGGUGGUGAUGGACAGUGGACAUGGACGCUGGAGAUAGAGGGUGGUGAUGGACAGUGGAGAUAGAGGGUGGUGAUGGACAGUGGAGAUAGAGGGUGGUGAUGGAUGGUGGACAUGGAUAGUGGAGAUAGAGGGUGGUGAUGGAUGGUGGACAUCGAUAGUGGAGUUGAAGGGUGGAGAUGGAGGGUGGUGAUGGAUGGCAGUGAUGGAGGGUGGAGAUGGAGGGUGGUGAUGGAGGGUGGAGGGUAGUGAUGGACAGUGGAGAUGGAGG